GAGUUUGAUCCUGGCUCAGAUUGAACGCUGGCGGCAGGCCUAACACAUGCAAGUCGAGCGGAUGACGGGAGCUUGCUCCUUGAUUCAGCGGCGGACGGGUGAGUAAUGCCUAGGAAUCUGCCUGGUAGUGGGGGACAACGUUUCGAAAGGAACGCUAAUACCGCAUACGUCCUACGGGAGAAAGCAGGGGACCUUCGGGCCUCGCGCUCUUGGAGCGGCCGAUGUCGGAUUAGCUAGUUGGUGAGGUAAAGGCUCACCAAGGCGACGAUCCGUAGCAGGUCUGAGAGGAUGAUCUGCCACACUGGAACUGAGACACGGUCCAGACUCCUACGGGAGGCAGCAGUGGGGAAUUUUGGACAAUGGGGGCAACCCUGAUCCAGCCAUGCCGCGUGAGUGAAGAAGGCCUGG
Molecule: ribosomal RNA, 408 nt
Filed under: bacterium enrichment culture clone ALO1_GLFRUDD03HBS9X
Lineage: Bacteria
Description: bacterial SSU rRNA
Rfam family: Bacterial small subunit ribosomal RNA
Source: RNAcentral